Molecule: ribosomal RNA, 492 nt
Filed under: uncultured bacterium
Lineage: Bacteria
Description: partial 16S ribosomal RNA
Rfam family: Bacterial small subunit ribosomal RNA
Source: RNAcentral
AGUGAACGCUGGCGGUAGGCCUAACACAUGCAAGUCGAACGGCAGCACAGUAAGAGCUUGCUCUUACGGGUGGCGAGUGGCGGACGGGUGAGGAAUACAUCGGAAUCUACUUUUUCGUGGGGGAUAACGUAGGGAAACUUACGCUAAUACCGCAUACGACCUACGGGUGAAAGCAGGGGAUCUUCGGACCUUGCGCGAUUGAAUGAGCCGAUGUCGGAUUAGCUAGUUGGCGGGGUAAAGGCCCACCAAGGCGACGAUCCGUAGCUGGUCUGAGAGGAUGAUCAGCCACACUGGAACUGAGACACGGUCCAGACUCCUACGGGAGGCAGCAGUGGGGAAUAUUGGACAAUGGGCGCAAGCCUGAUCCAGCCAUAACGCGUGGGUGAAGAAGGCCUUCGGGUUGCAAAGCCCUUUUGUUGGGAAAGAAAAGCAGCAGGUUAAUACCCCGCUGUUCUGACGGUACCCAAAGAAUAAGCACCGGCUAACUUCGUG